Molecule: ribosomal RNA, 377 nt
Filed under: uncultured organism
Description: bacterial SSU rRNA
Rfam family: Bacterial small subunit ribosomal RNA
Source: RNAcentral
CGGGGGAGCAAGCGUUGUUCGGAUUUACGUGGGCGUAAAGGGCGCGUAGGCGGCCUCUGCAAGUCGACUGUGAAAUCUCCGGGCUUAACCCGGAACGGUCAGCCGAUACUGCAGGGCUAGAGUGCAGAAGGGGCAACUGGAAUUCUCGGUGUAGCGGUGAAAUGCGUAGAUAUCGAGAGGAACACCUGCGGCGAAGGCGGGUUGCUGGGCUGACACUGACGCUGAGGCGCGAAAGCUAGGGGAGCGAACGGGAUUACGAUACCCCGGUAGUCCCUAGCCUUAAACGAUGAAUGCUUGGUGUCUGGGGUUUUAUAGUCCCCCGGGUGCCGUCGCUAACGCUUUAAGCAUUCCGCCUGGGGAGUACGGUCGCAAGACUG